Molecule: transfer RNA, 72 nt
Filed under: Phalanger orientalis (gray cuscus)
Lineage: Eukaryota; Metazoa; Chordata; Mammalia; Diprotodontia; Phalangeridae
Description: tRNA-Asn
Rfam family: tRNA
About the family: Transfer RNA (tRNA) molecules are approximately 80 nucleotides in length. Their secondary structure includes four short double-helical elements and three loops (D, anti-codon, and T loops). Further hydrogen bonds mediate the characteristic L-shaped molecular structure. tRNAs have two regions of fundamental functional importance: the anti-codon, which is responsible for specific mRNA codon recognition, and the 3' end, to which the tRNAs corresponding amino acid is attached (by aminoacyl-tRNA synthetases). tRNAs cope with the degeneracy of the genetic code in two manners: having more than one tRNA (with a specific anti-codon) for a particular amino acid; and 'wobble' base-pairing, i.e. permitting non-standard base-pairing at the 3rd anti-codon position.
Source: RNAcentral
UAAGUUGAAGCCAAAUGUUUAGGCGCCUAGCUGUUAACUAGGAAAGAGUGGGAUAAAAACCCACCAAUUUAG